GACGAACGCUGGCGGCGUGCCUAAUACAUGCAAGUUGAGCGAUGAAGAUUGGUGCUUGCACCAAUUUGAAGAGCAGCGCACGGGUGAGUAACGCGUGGGGAAUCUGCCUUUGAGCGGGGGACAACAUUUGGAAACGAAUGCUAAUACCGCAUAACAACUUUAAACAUAAGUUUUAAGUUUGAAAGAUGCAAUUGCAUCACUCAAAGAUGAUCCCGCGUUGUAUUAGCUAGUUGGUGAGGUAAAGGCUCACCAAGGCGAUGAUACAUAGCCGACCUGAGAGGGUGGUCGGCCACAUUGGGACUGAGACACGGCCCAAACUCCUACGGGAGGCAGCAGUAGGGAAUCUUCGGCAAUGGACGAAAGUCUGACCGAGCAACGCCGCGUGAGUGAAGAAGGUUUUCGGAUCGUAAAACUCUGUUGGUAGAGAAGAACGUUGGUGAGAGUGGAAAGCUCAUCAAGUGACGGUAACUACCCAGAAAGGGACGGCUAACUACGUG
RNAcentral lists this ribosomal RNA (497 nucleotides) under uncultured bacterium. RNAcentral's name for it is "partial 16S ribosomal RNA". It matches the Rfam family "Bacterial small subunit ribosomal RNA", at positions 28 to 507 of the family's 1533-position model. The record is from RNAcentral.